AGCAGCCGCGGUAAUUCCAGCUCCAAUAGCGUAUAUUAAAGUUGUUGCAGUUAAAAAGCUCGUAGUUGAAUUUCGGGGUUAGUAGGUUGGUCAUGCCUCUGGUAUGUACUGGUCUCACUGAUUCCUCCUUCCUGAUGAACCUUAAUGCCAUUUAUUUGGUGUUUUGGGGAAUUUGGACUGUUACUUUGAAAAAAUUAGAGUGUUUAAAGCAAGCUAACGCUUGAAUACAUUAGCAUGGAAUAAUGAAAUAGGACGUUCGAUCCUAUUUUGUUGGUUUCUAGGAUUGACGUAAUGAUUAAUAGGGAUAGUUGGGGGCAUUAGUAUUCAAUUGUCAGAGGUGAAAUUCUUGGAUUUAUUGAAGACUAACUACUGCGAAAGCAUUUGCCAAGGAUGUUUUCAUUAAUCAAGAACGAAAGUUAGGGGAUCGAAGACGAUCAGAUACCGUCGUAGUCUUAACCAUAAACUAUGCCGACUAGGGAUCGGAUGAUGUUAAUUUUUUAAUGACUCA
This 508-nucleotide ribosomal RNA is filed under the name Glomus sp. Glo8. RNAcentral describes it as "SSU rRNA". It matches the Rfam family "Eukaryotic small subunit ribosomal RNA", at positions 569 to 1078 of the family's 1831-position model. The record is from RNAcentral. RNAcentral also lists the same sequence under 3 other names. Lineage: Eukaryota; Fungi; Glomeromycota; Glomeromycetes; Glomerales; Glomeraceae.